AAUGCUAUAGUUUAUAAAAAAAAAAAUUUUAAAUUGCAAAUUUAAAGAUAAGACUUUCUUUAGCAUUU
RNAcentral lists this transfer RNA (68 nucleotides) under Hygrotus confluens. RNAcentral describes it as "tRNA-Cys". The record is from RNAcentral. Lineage: Eukaryota; Metazoa; Arthropoda; Insecta; Coleoptera; Dytiscidae.